This 260-nucleotide ribosomal RNA is filed under the name Sutterella seckii. RNAcentral describes it as "partial 23S ribosomal RNA". It matches the Rfam family "Bacterial large subunit ribosomal RNA", at positions 1327 to 1592 of the family's 2925-position model. Lineage: Bacteria; Pseudomonadati; Pseudomonadota; Betaproteobacteria; Burkholderiales; Sutterellaceae. The record is from RNAcentral.
AGCCCGCUCGCCGCAAGCCCAAGGUUUCCUGCUCUACGUUCAUCGGAGCAGGGUGAGUCGGCCCCUAAGGCGAGGCUGAGAAGCAUAGCUGAUGGGAACCAGGUUAAUAAUCCUGGACCGAUUGCAGGUGCGAAGGAGGGACGGAGUGCUGAAGGUCAUCCGGGUGUUGGAUAUCCCGGUUUGCGAGCGUAGGAAGCCGGCAGGCAAAUCCGCCGGCGAAUUUCCGAGGCGAAGCAUCGAGGCUGGUUUCAGCUGAAGUG